GCGGAAACACCGGUUCUCAUACAAUCACCGAAGUUAAGCAACGUCAAGCCUGGUCAGUAUCUAGAUGGGUGGCAGCUUAGGAAUACCAGGUGCUGUAAU
Non-coding RNA from Acanthosepion pharaonis, 99 nucleotides. The record is from the annotation of a GenBank genome assembly. Lineage: Eukaryota; Metazoa; Mollusca; Cephalopoda; Sepiida; Sepiidae.